RNAcentral lists this ribosomal RNA (318 nucleotides) under uncultured Marimonadida. RNAcentral describes it as "SSU rRNA". The stretch from base 101 to 318 matches the Rfam family "Eukaryotic small subunit ribosomal RNA", at positions 735 to 955 of the family's 1831-position model. The record is from RNAcentral. RNAcentral also lists the same sequence under 1 other name. Lineage: Eukaryota; Cercozoa; Imbricatea.
GAUUUCUGGCUUGACAAGACUGGCCCGCUACACCAGUAGUGAGUGUCGGCUCUUGUCUGCCAUCCUUCCACAGAACGUUUCUACCCUUUACUGGGCCGGAUUCGCAAUGUGGAACUUUUACUUUGAAAAAAUUAGAGUGUUCAAAGCAGGCUUGCGCUAUGAAUACAUUAGCAUGGAAUAAUAAUUUAGGACUUCGGUUCUAUUUUGUUGGUUUUCAGGACUGAGUAAUGAUUGAUAGGGAUAGUUGGGGGUGCUAGUAUUCAGCGGCCAGAGGUGAAAUUCUUGGAUUCGCUGAAGACUAACUUAUGCGAAAGCAUU